AUUUCGGAGCGUAGGGUUCCUAGCGAGCCCACCUCCCACCCGUGUUUACUGUACCUUAGUUGCUUCGGCGGGCCCGCCAUUCAUGGCCGCCGGGGGCUCUCAGCCCCGGGCCCGCGCCCGCCGGAGACACCACGAACUCUGUCUGAUCUAGUGAAGUCUGAGUUGAUUGUAUCGCAAUCAGUUAAAACUUUCAACAAUGGAUCUCUUGGUUCCGGCAUCGAUGAAGAACGCAGCGAAAUGCGAUAACUAGUGUGAAUUGCAGAAUUCCGUGAAUCAUCGAGUCUUUGAACGCACAUUGCGCCCCCUGGUAUUCCGGGGGGCAUGCCUGUCCGAGCGUCAUUGCUGCCCAUCAAGCACGGCUUGUGUGUUGGGUCGUCGUCCCCUCUCCGGGGGGGACGGGCCCCAAAGGCAGCGGCGGCACCGCGUCCGAUCCUCGAGCGUAUGGGGCUUUGUCACCCGCUCUGUAGGCCCGGCCGGCGCUUGCCGAACGCAAAUCAAUCUUUUUCCAGGUUGACCUCGGAUCAGGUAGGGAUACCCGCUGAACUUAAGCAUAUCAAUAAGCCGGAGGAAGGGA
Molecule: unclassified non-coding RNA, 574 nt
Filed under: Aspergillus flavus
Lineage: Eukaryota; Fungi; Ascomycota; Eurotiomycetes; Eurotiales; Aspergillaceae
Description: sequence contains ITS1, 5.8S rRNA gene and ITS2
Rfam family: 5.8S ribosomal RNA (bases 186-339)
Source: RNAcentral